AGGUGUAUGGUAUCAGUUGCAGAGAA
RNAcentral lists this non-coding RNA (26 nucleotides) under Homo sapiens (human). Lineage: Eukaryota; Metazoa; Chordata; Mammalia; Primates; Hominidae. The record is from RNAcentral.